UACGGAGGGUGCAAGCGUUAAUCGGAAUUACUGGGCGUAAAGCGCACGUAGGUGGUUUGCUAAGCCAGCUGUGAAAUCCCCGGGCUCAACCUGGGCACUGCAGUUGGAACUGGCAAGCUAGAGUAGGGUAGAGGGGUGUGGAAUUCCAGGUGUAGCGGUGAAAUGCGUAGAUACCUGGAGGAACAUCAGUGGCGAAGGCGACACCCUGGACUCAUACUGACACUGAGGUGCGAAAGCGUGGGGAGCAAACAGG
This 253-nucleotide ribosomal RNA is filed under the name uncultured bacterium. RNAcentral describes it as "partial 16S ribosomal RNA". It matches the Rfam family "Bacterial small subunit ribosomal RNA", at positions 524 to 776 of the family's 1533-position model. The record is from RNAcentral.